UCACACCCUAACCCUAAUUUUGAUCACCGCAACACUUUCACAACACUUUCACAACACAUACCACCAUCAAUACCUUCAUCUUCAUCCGAAACAGAUCCAAAUCCGGCCGCACCUUUUUCUCGCCGGAGGACUGCAACCGGGCAGAAAACCGCCGCACGCAGCGCCUGCGUACCAACAUCUACAAACCACCACUAACAACCUUCAUCACCAUCUCCUUGUUCAAACACCCACUUGCUUCAUCCAUCAUUAA
Non-coding RNA from Vicia faba (fava bean), 250 nucleotides. Lineage: Eukaryota; Viridiplantae; Streptophyta; Magnoliopsida; Fabales; Fabaceae. The record is from the annotation of a GenBank genome assembly.